AGCCUUGACUAGGUCGGACUGCAAAUCCGGCGAAGCACAAUAGUGUGCCGGGGCUU
RNAcentral lists this transfer RNA (56 nucleotides) under Callopistes maculatus. RNAcentral's name for it is "tRNA-Cys". The record is from RNAcentral. Lineage: Eukaryota; Metazoa; Chordata; Lepidosauria; Squamata; Teiidae.